CUCAUACUAUCCAGAAUUACCAUGAAAUCUUCCAAUGGAGAAAAUCAAUCAGCAGUCCUACCCAGUUCUAAUACUUACAAAUCUACCUAACUACCCAUGGGUUGUGAGGUGAGGGGCCCUAGACAAGAAGCUACUACUUCCACUGUCUUAGACUAGUAUAGUUUUAAAUUACAUUCUAAUUACUUACCUUUAUACAUACAGAUAUAUGUAUUUCUCUUUCUCAUCAACAACACAGAUGAUUGUAGAAAUCCACAACUAGUUAAUGUGUAAAGAGCCCAACCUCAGGUGAUUGUCAAUAACACAACCUCUAUACCUAAAACUCAGGGAACAACAUGGGAGAGGGUACAGAAAGAAUCUGAGAACCAUGGCAUCCACUGUGAAAUACAGACUUAUCUGGGACAGAGAAACAGAACCUAAUGUCAUCGCCUAAAUAAGACCUUCACAAAGACAACACCAGUUGGCCUGCUAGUGUGGACUGGGGAAAUCUCACAUCUUCCCCUGGAGGAACAGCUACAGACAAAAGGGACUCCCAAGACAGAAUCAAUCUUCUACUGCAAUAAGCUACCGGAAAGGCUAUCAAUCCCAAGUUUUCAGAUUUGAUCUGGGCUGCCAGUGAGCCAUCUGCACAAAAUGAGAGCAGUCUGCUGAAGCUGUCCAUGCAGGUGACAGAGGGAUGCCAUUUCAAGAUAAGAUGGGACAUGCACUGUAUGAUGGACUUUACAUCGACUAUGGGAUCAGCCUGGAUGCAAAUGUGUCAUACUCAUACAAGCAGGACUUAAAUAAUCAUUACCUAUAUUUCAUUUCAAUGUAUUCAUUUUAAAAAGAUAUUAAAUAACCAUUUUCUGCAAAAUUUCAUUUGUUUUUUCAUAUAUUAAUUCAAUUGUAAGCAGACUGUCUACAGCCUCCCAGAUACUUGAAAAGGGAUAUGAGUAUGUCAACAAAAUGGAACUAACAGCUUGGACUGGAGAGAAAUAUAAGGAAUUAAGUGGAGAAUUACAGAGACAAUACACAGAUCAGGACCUAAUAGAGCUGGCGGUGAAGUACACUCAGUAGAACUGGUGGGAGAACAUGUUGGAGAUGCUGACAUUGCUACUGAGAUUUUGGAGAUUAGGGAAAUUUGAUGGGUUAAGAGAGGAUUGAUAAUAUUCCAGGAACUCUGAAUGUCAGGACUGUAGCAUUACCCGGCAAUCACACACUCUUCACUGCAUCUGGAACAUAGGAAUUGAUAGUCAUGAGUACAGAAGUGCUGGGAGAUGAAGAGCUAGAUCAGAUGCCAAAGGUGCAGGAAUUGAAAGUACUAUAGAACUUGAAGACAAGUAUCUUCAACAUGAUGUUCACAGCAUCUGUAGCAACAGGAUGCUUUAUUUGAAAAUGAGCAAGGAUCACGCCUUAGAGAGGCUUAGGAAUUCAAAGUCAUGUGGCUGGAAAUAAGAAAUGUGCUUUCCCAUGGUACUAUGUUCAGCUACUUGGGAGGACUUUUAAAGUAUUGUAAAACAGAAAGAUAGCAUGCUCAGUGUGAAGUGAUGUUCAAAAAAACAAAAGUACAGGUGAAGGAGAAAGACUGAGUAAAAUGCAAAGUAGAAAAGAAGGAGGAGGAGAAUGGCAAACUAGAUUUUCAAACAUAGUUCAGGUGAAAAACACACUGGCUGUGCCCUUUGGAUAUAUGGAAACAUAGGAAUUCCACAGGGCCUGGUGAUCCAGUAAAAAUUGUUGUUGCAAAAGAUCUUUGUGAGAGUAAGUUUGAAGAAGUUAAAAAAUAUCUACUGUCUCUUUGCUUGAUACUAAACUAACCCUCCAACCUUAGGAAUAGAGAAGGCUGAAGGCCAAUAGAUAGCGAGAUAUUGUGAAUGCAAUUGGUGGAACCAUCCUUAAAUACAGAGAAGAGCCAAUGCUGGUAGUACUGAGGUAGCAAGAAAGCCAAAAGUAUAAUGACAGGCAUUCAGAUCCAUAAAGAAUUCUGAGAUGCAAUCGACAACAAAUAAGACAAGAAAACAAAUAGCUCACAAAAGCAAAGGUAGAAAACUGUUUUUAAUGCUUAACUGAAAUUGAAAAAAUAAGC
This is a long non-coding RNA of Onychomys torridus (southern grasshopper mouse), 2059 nucleotides long. RefSeq lists it as uncharacterized. The transcript has 3 exons. The record is from RefSeq and is a predicted model, not a curated record. Lineage: Eukaryota; Metazoa; Chordata; Mammalia; Rodentia; Cricetidae.